RNAcentral lists this unclassified non-coding RNA (418 nucleotides) under uncultured fungus. RNAcentral's name for it is "partial contains 5.8S ribosomal RNA and internal transcribed spacer 2". The stretch from base 1 to 133 matches the Rfam family "5.8S ribosomal RNA", at positions 22 to 154 of the family's 154-position model. Lineage: Eukaryota; Fungi. The record is from RNAcentral.
UGGCUCUCGCAUCGAUGAAGAACGCAGCGAAAUGCGAUACGUAAUGUGAAUUGCAGAAUUCAGUGAAUCAUCGAAUCUUUGAACGCAUAUUGCGCUCUCUGGUAUUCCGGAGAGCAUGCUUGUUUGAGUAUCAGUAAACACCUCAACUCCCCUUUCUUUUUUGAAAUGGGAGCUGGACUUGAGUGAUCCCAACGCUUUUCUCACCGAAAAGUGGCGGGUUACUUGAAAUGCAGGUGCAGCUGGACUUUUCUCUGAGCUAAAAGCAUAUCUAUUUAGUCUGCCUAAAAACAGAUUAUUACCUUUGCUGCAGCUAACAUAAAGGAGAUUAGUUCUUGUGCUGACUGAUGCAGGAUUCACAGAGACAGCUUCGGCUGGCCUUUGUAAACUCGAUCUCAAAUCAAGUAAGACUACCCGCUGA